This 287-nucleotide unclassified non-coding RNA is filed under the name Hevea brasiliensis (rubber tree). Lineage: Eukaryota; Viridiplantae; Streptophyta; Magnoliopsida; Malpighiales; Euphorbiaceae. The record is from RNAcentral.
ACCAAAAUGUUUGUCUUUUAAUUCCCCUGCUUCACUGAUUUCACUUCUCACAACAUUCCUUUCCUGAUCUUCUUUACCAUGUGAUGCAUGUCUCAAUGUGUUAGCUUCCCCCAUAUUCUCAUGGCGAGACAAUGUAUCUAUUCCUUGGUCUACAUAAUCUGAAGAUUCACCAUCAGCAUUGUGAUCAGAGGCACUCUUCAUCUCUCCACUUAAAUGCUCAUUACCUUGAUUAUGGGUGGUUCUUGGAGCCCCACCACGAUUAUCUGCAAGUGACAUUGACUUUGAGG